AUUCCACUGUAAAACUGAAGAAAAUACCUUUUUCUGAAGAACUAGAGAAGCGAGAGAGAAGGAAUCCAGUUGCUUGCUGUGCUGUGUAUUGAGAAUGAGGACAAAAAGGAGAUCAUGCCACACAGCUUCCAGAAGCCACGAUCAAAGAGGAUCAAGCCAACAAAACUAUCUGCCUUUACCCCUGGGUAACUUGAGAUACUCUCUGGCUAUACUUGGGGUGAGGGCCAAACUGCUUGAAGGCCUGUACCUGCAAUUAGUGUGUGUCUACACCUGGGAGAAGACAGCCUGAAAAACUGGAGGAAUAAAUAAAUGCCUUUUCACCUACAAACAA
Long non-coding RNA from Peromyscus eremicus (cactus mouse), 331 nucleotides. RefSeq lists it as uncharacterized. The transcript has 2 exons. Lineage: Eukaryota; Metazoa; Chordata; Mammalia; Rodentia; Cricetidae. The record is from RefSeq and is a predicted model, not a curated record.